Long non-coding RNA from Gossypium arboreum, 314 nucleotides. RefSeq lists it as uncharacterized. NCBI's taxonomy places the organism in Eukaryota, Viridiplantae, Streptophyta, Magnoliopsida, Malvales, Malvaceae. The transcript is spliced from 3 exons. The record is from RefSeq and is a predicted model, not a curated record.
AGGUGAGAAAAACAAAGUUUUCAUCCAUUCUUCUUUCAUUUUGCUGAAAUUUAAAGAACAAGUAAAACAAAAGGUUCUUGGAUAUUCGGCCUUGGUGUUUCUAAUUGGAGCUCAAGAGCAAAGAGGGUCGAAGUUGGAUAGGGGAAAAGAGAAAGUAAUUGAUUAGCCUUUCCGCAACCGUUCAAGUAUAUCCGAGAUUGUUGAUUUUGGCCACCGACUCGAGGAUCGUCAGUAGUUCAUCACACUAUCGAUCUUUUUGGGUACAGUUAUAUUUUGGACUCAAUAUGGCAUGUAUAGGUUAGGCUGAUGAUAAC